GAUGAACGCUAGCGGGAGGCCUAACACAUGCAAGCCGAGCGGUAUAGAUCUUUCGGGAUCUAGAGAGCGGCGUACGGGUGCGGAACACGUGUGCAACCUGCCUUUAUCUGGGGGAUAGCCUUUCGAAAGGGAGAUUAAUACCCCAUAAUAUAUCAGAUGGCAUCAUUUGAUAUUGAAAACUCCGGUGGAUAGAGAUGGGCACGCGCAAGAUUAGAUAGUUGGUGAGGUAACGGCUCACCAAGUCUACGAUCUUUAGGGGGCCUGAGAGGGUGAUCCCCCACACUGGUACUGAGACACGGACCAGACUCCUACGGGAGGCAGCAGUGAGGAAUAUUGGACAAUGGGUGAGAGCCUGAUCCAGCCAUCCCGCGUGAAGGACGACGGCCCUAUGGGUUGUAAACUUCUUUUGUAUAGGGAUAAACCUACCCUCGUGAGGGUAGCUGAAGGUACUAUACGAAUAAGCAC
This 465-nucleotide ribosomal RNA is filed under the name Chryseobacterium sp. SP11. RNAcentral describes it as "bacterial SSU rRNA". It matches the Rfam family "Bacterial small subunit ribosomal RNA", at positions 28 to 493 of the family's 1533-position model. Lineage: Bacteria; Pseudomonadati; Bacteroidota; Flavobacteriia; Flavobacteriales; Weeksellaceae. The record is from RNAcentral.